Long non-coding RNA from Chlorocebus sabaeus (green monkey), 1066 nucleotides. RefSeq lists it as uncharacterized. Lineage: Eukaryota; Metazoa; Chordata; Mammalia; Primates; Cercopithecidae. The record is from RefSeq and is a predicted model, not a curated record.
UGCUGCAUCCAGGAUGUAUUUUGGGGGUAACACAAACCAGUAUGCCAUCAGAUUGGGUGUGGGGUGUAACCAAAAGAGGCUUUUUGUUCUGAGCAACAGGAAAGAUGAAGUUGCCAUGAACUGAGACUGGGGAGUCUAUCAGAGGAGUAGGUUUGGUGGGGAAAAAUGGGAAUUUAAUUUUGAAACUGAUAAGUUUGAGACACCCAAGGAGAGACAGCAAGUAUGCGGUUGUAUAUAUCAAGCUGAAGUUUAGAGAAGUGGUACAGAAUAGAGGAAAUUAGAGCUAUUGGUAUGCGGGUGGGAUUUGAAGCAUGAGAUGGAAGGAGGUCACCAAGAAAGUGAAUGUAUAUAAAACAAACAAUGUGUCCAAGGGCUGAGUUCUGAGAUACUUCAAUAGCAGAAGAUGAUGUUGACAAGCAGAAGCUAGCUAAAGAGACUGAGCAAGUGCUGGCAGUGAAGCACCAGGAAAACCAAGAGAUCACGCUCAGUGCUAGCGGAUUCACAAGCAACCUGCACUCCUCAAAGAAAUACAAUGAUAAGAUGAAGGCGAUCUCUCCAACUAGCGACUGGGGCUCUUCCUUCAGUGAAAAAAGUGGGUAUAUGCAGACUCCUGAAUCUAGAUUGCAGGGAUGUGACCUAUGUAAUGAACUUGCUGCUUAUGGCUCAUCAUCUUCUUCAAUGACGUGAAAAAUAGUAACAACUAAUACGUCUCGGGCAAAAUAAAUACUUUAAUGGACUUGUUACAGCAACCUGACUUUUUAAAAAGAAAAAAGGAACUUACUUGAACUAAAGUGGUUAAGACCUCGACAUUUGCUCACAGAAAGGGUCGUUGAGUCGUUUCUAGUUGUUGAUGGGCAAAAGAUGCAGCUGUCCCUUAUGGAAAAUUCCAAGAACUUGUACAUAAUUUGAGUCAUGCAAACCUGAGUUCUGCAUGACUGAGUUCUGUCACUCAGUGGUUGGGAAAUUUAUGAUCAUCUCUAUGCCUUGGUUUCUGCAUCUGUAAAGUGGAAAUGAUAAUGUCUACCUUGUGUGAUUCCUGGAAGAAUUAAAUACAUGAUAUUCAAAA